GGGGAAGUGAGAAACAAAGCCUCUCUCUCCGUUUGUGUGAUGCUUUUGCCGGGGACAGAACAGGAAUGGAGUCUUAGAACUUAUUUUGGUGCAGGUUUGAGUGAAGACCAGCCCUCAGACUACGAUGAGUUACAAAGCAGACUAGAAAGAGUUACAAAGGGAUCUCACUAAACUGGAGUCACAGAACAGCGGAAGCAAGUGACCAUGGAUGUCUGAACUCCAGGGAUGAGUUCAGCCUGCCCCGGGCCCAGCCUUGGCUGUUGGCCCUCAGCUGCCGGUGCUCGUCUCCAUGCGCCAGCUCGCUCCAACUCAGGUGUGGCUUGUGCGACCGUGUCUGUGCCGAAGGUGCUGCGUUCAGGAAAAGUGAACCCAUGAAAGAAGCCUUCCCGGGCAAGCGUGGGGGGAACAUGGCCUUUGGAAUGGCCCGGGGGCUUCUCCAAUUCUGCACAUUGACACAGGAAAGCUUUCCCAGACAGGCAGACUCAAAAUACACUGGAGUUCAUGUAGUGAUGGCAGGAGGUGCCAGGCUGACAACCCAGCUACAACAUGGGCAGCAGUACCAGCUCCCCAUACAGUGGCCUGCCACUCUGCCCCAACCCUCACUGGGAGCCCUCCACUCUGGCUGCCGGGGGGUUCAGUUUUCAAGCCCAUUUGAUCCUUGGAUGAACUUGCCAAUAAGAGCCCACGACCAUGAUGAGCUUUGUCAUGUGGGUCCUGUCCACUGAGAACCACCAAGUGGCUGCACAAGGCCACCAGACCAGAGCAGCCACCAGACGAUAAGGUCUUGCAGACAACACAGGCCCAGGUCUAGACUGGCACUGGAGAGCUGGACGUGAAAAGCUUUAUACCCUACUGCUGGGACACUCUGACACAAGGGAGUGCAGCUGAGUAAUCACGUCUCCUGGCCUGAUUCCUGCAACUGGGUAACACACGGAGCUCUCUUUGUGCCCUCAGACACUGAAUUCCCCUGUGGAAUUAGCUUGUUCUCCUAAGGUGAACUUUGGAAAAGGCUGCAGGGCAGAAUUUUUGCUGACCUCAUACAUAAUCCAGAAAAGGCAGUUUUAAAAGCAGGUCUGGUCUUCAGAGUCUGUGCUACAUUAACAAG
Caretta caretta (loggerhead turtle) is the source of this 1105-nucleotide long non-coding RNA. RefSeq lists it as uncharacterized. Lineage: Eukaryota; Metazoa; Chordata; Testudines; Cheloniidae. The record is from RefSeq and is a predicted model, not a curated record.